AGGGGCAUAGCCAAGCGGCAAGGCAACGGACUUUGACUCCGUGAUUCGUAGGUUCGAAUCCUGCUGCCCCUGCCA
RNAcentral lists this transfer RNA (75 nucleotides) under Caudoviricetes sp. RNAcentral describes it as "tRNA-Gln". It matches the Rfam family "tRNA". From Rfam's summary of the family: Transfer RNA (tRNA) molecules are approximately 80 nucleotides in length. Lineage: Duplodnaviria; Heunggongvirae; Uroviricota; Caudoviricetes. The record is from RNAcentral.